RNAcentral lists this long non-coding RNA (704 nucleotides) under Lynx pardinus (Iberian lynx). The record is from RNAcentral. Lineage: Eukaryota; Metazoa; Chordata; Mammalia; Carnivora; Felidae.
UUUACAGAUCAGUCAGAUUUCAUAUUUCUAAAACAAUCAGAUCCAAAACAAAAAUGGACAUUUAGCAUUAAACAAAAUGCUAAAUGAAUCUCUUUGCAGAUUCUUUCAGGGAAUGGAGACCAUUCACAUGGAUUGACAUGCCAAUUUUCUCAUCGUGUAAGUAUAUUUUUGAUCGGUUUCUUUAAUCCGAUUUAUUUAGUAAAAAAAAAGAAAAUCUAAAUUCAUGGUGUAUACGCUUCCUUUUUUCUUUUAAUUCACAGGUUGAAUGUGGUCUUUUCACUUACCUACAACUAACUCAAAAAUCUUACAUUUGAUAUUUUGAGGUUUGUAUUUCCAAAUAUUAAAAAACUCUUCCCUUCCUUAUGGCCCCUCCCAGCAUGUUCUGAAGUGGUCUCUUUCAGACAAAAGAGAAUGACAUCCCCCUUUCAACUAGCAAAUGUUGGAUUCCCUAAACCAACUGGGGGUAAACUGGAAGUUUUGCAAUUAGAUUCACACAAGCUGAAUAUGUUCAUUAUCUCCAAACAUUCUCCUUCGAACUUUACAAAUAUAACACUACUGAGUUUAGAGUUUCCUGUGGCUUGUUUACAAAUAAAGGUAUCUUGAUAAAAACCAAGCCCUGUGUAUUUCUGAAAAACAAAAAACCAUGCAACAAUCUCAUAUGAAAACACUACAAAAGGAUUGUGAAGGGAAAUUUAAAAGGAGAA